UCUUGGCCAAUGGGCGCAAGCCUGAUCCAGCCAUGCCGCGUGAGUGAAGAAGGCCUAGGGUUGUAAAACUCUUUCGCCGGAGAAGAUAAUGACGGUAUCCGGAGAAGAAGCCCCGGCUAACUUCGUGCCAGCAGCCGCGGUAAUACGAAGGGGGCUAGCGUUGUUCGGAAUUACUGGGCGUAAAGCGCACGUAGGCGGGUCUGUAAGUAGGGGGUGAAAUCCCAGGGCUCAACCCUGGAACUGCCUUCUAGACUGCAGGCCUGGAGGUCAGGAGAGGCGAGCGGAAUUCCGAGUGUAGAGGUGAAAAUCGUAGAUAUUCGGAGGAACACCAGUGGCGAAGGCGGCUCGCUGGACUGAUACUGACGCUGAGGUGCGAAAGCGUGGGGAGCAAACAGG
RNAcentral lists this ribosomal RNA (396 nucleotides) under uncultured bacterium. Its description in RNAcentral is "bacterial SSU rRNA". It matches the Rfam family "Bacterial small subunit ribosomal RNA", at positions 362 to 776 of the family's 1533-position model. The record is from RNAcentral.